GCCUGGAACCGCCCUUGGCCUAUAACAACAGCCUUUGACACUAGGGGAUGUCCCUGGAUAAUAAUUUCCAUUGAUGUCGGAUUAAAUUUUUCUCCGUUGCUGAGCACAAUGACAUCAUCUCCACGCCCAAUAUAUCUCCAUAGGCCUGGCUUCCGCGCGUGCGGAGUAAAAAGGUCACCGGUUCGAUAUUCUGUGAGAUCCGGGUACGUGUGGAAAACGCCGUGGACGUGCCUAUUCGACUGGCGAGGAAUAACUAACUCGAAGGUGCCAUCCCCUUGGGCCCGCAUGUCAACCGCGUAGAAGGGAUUCCAUUCAAAAUAUCCCCAAUCUUCACGCUCUUCCGCCUUUAGAGAUGCAACCAAACCACAUUCGCUCGACCCAAGAACAGUCUGCAGGUGGGUCAAUUUGCAAAGCCCAUCCCCAAUCUCGGGUGACAGCGGCGCUCCUCCGUACGCGAUGUAAUGAAACUUAGACAACGUUUUUUGUCCUACCUGGGAGGAAUAAAGGUCUUCUAAUGAUGAUGGCGGAAGACUCGCUGAAGUGCAUUUUGUCUCUGUCACGAUUGUGGCGAGUAAUUCGGCCGUCAUUGGCUUUUCCGGGCUUAAUACGAACGGGGUCGCGGCGGAAACUGAAGCGAUCACCGUAAGCAAACCCAUGAAGUGGAAAAAUGGACUCAUUGUAAACGCCAGUUUUCCGGGUUCGCAGACACUGUAAACACUGCCAACUCGCCCAGGGGGUGUAGGCAUAACUUGAACCCCCUUCUGUGCGGCGACGUAUCCAUGCGUAAGUAGAACGGGCUUGGGCAAACCUAGAACUAUGAAUGAUGGCGGCAACGCUGUCCUCCACUCCUUCGGACUGUUUCACCCCUUCAUACGGCAGGACUUCAGUAUUGCUGAAAACGUCCCAAAGGUCCGGGACAAUCCAUGCCUUGAUGCUGGAAUCUGCUGCGCACAGUUCGUUUACUUGCCUCUCGCGUUCCACGCUGUAGACGAACUUCGAACAUCCACUCUUUGCGAGAACGUGACGUGAUGCUUCCAGCGAAUUUCGGGGAGAGAGAAGCAAUGGCUGAAUAAUCAGUUACCCUCUAUUUGUUAGAGCUAUCUCUGUCAAUAUGCAUAGAAUUUGGGGAACAGCCCGCUUACAAUGUGUCCGACCUUGGUGCAAGCAAGAAUAAAAGCAGCGUAGCGUAUAUCGUUUGCUCCCAUAUAAGCCAAUGUCUCAUGACUUGAACGAGCUGCCACAUUAUCUUCAAUCCACCUUGCCAUGUAAUCUGUUGCGCCAGACAAGUCUUUCAUUGUUACGUUGCGCCAUCCCUGAGAGAUGUCUGGGGAUAGUGGGUGGAUGCAAAAUAGCUGGUUCGGAUUGUUCUCCUUAAGAUAAUCAACCUCAGCUGACAGAGUGCGUAUUUCAACGUUGGCGGAUCCCAUUUUGCAGUAUACUAGGCAA
This 1446-nucleotide small RNA is filed under the name Histoplasma capsulatum. RNAcentral's name for it is "hypothetical RNA". RNAcentral also lists the same sequence under 1 other name. Lineage: Eukaryota; Fungi; Ascomycota; Eurotiomycetes; Onygenales; Ajellomycetaceae. The record is from RNAcentral.